GAUGAACGCUGGCGGCGUGCCUAAUACAUGCAAGUCGAGCGAACAGACGAGGAGCUUGCUCCUCUGACGUUAGCGGCGGACGGGUGAGUAACACGUGGAUAACCUACCUAUAAGACUGGGAUAACUUCGGGAAACCGGAGCUAAUACCGGAUAAUAUAUUGAACCGCAUGGUUCAAUAGUGAAAGACGGUUUUGCUGUCACUUAUAGAUGGAUCCGCGCCGCAUUAGCUAGUUGGUAAGGUAACGGCUUACCAAGGCAACGAUGCGUAGCCGACCUGAGAGGGUGAUCGACCACACUGUAACUGAGACACGGUCCAGACUCCUACGGGAGGCAGCAGUAGGGAAUCUUCCGCAAUGGGCGAAAGCCUGACGUAGCAACGCCGCGUGAGUGAUGAAGGUCUUCGGAUCGUAAAACUCUGUUAUUAGGGAAGAACAAAUGUGUAAGUAACUAUGCACGUCUUGACGGUACCUAAUCAGAAAGCCACGGCUAACUACGUG
Molecule: ribosomal RNA, 497 nt
Filed under: uncultured bacterium
Lineage: Bacteria
Description: partial 16S ribosomal RNA
Rfam family: Bacterial small subunit ribosomal RNA
Source: RNAcentral